Molecule: long non-coding RNA, 907 nt
Organism: Cucumis sativus (cucumber)
Lineage: Eukaryota; Viridiplantae; Streptophyta; Magnoliopsida; Cucurbitales; Cucurbitaceae
Exons: 3
Source: RefSeq, a predicted model, not a curated record
CCGCCCAACCGUCCUCUUCUCCUUCCUCCCGUGCGCCGCGACGACCCAACCAUCUUCUUCUCUUCCGUUCGCAGCAGCCGUCGGCCGCCGCGUCUCCCCUACUGAAGCCGAGCGCCGCGACCUCCAUUCCGUUCUCCAUCUGCGUUCGCGAAGCAGCCUUGCAGCAGCCGCCGCGUGACUAUCCGGUCCAGAUCUGCGGCGCCGUUGCUCUUCCGCCGCUGCCUAACCGUCUCCGCCGUCUCUAUCUCCGUCCGCGAGGCAAGUCGCACGCCUCAGUCACGAACAGCCUCGCCGACGCAGGUCACGCCGCAUCGCACGAGUUCGGCUACGUUGCCGGGCUACUCCCGUCCGCGCGUAACUGCUGUUGAACGUCCGAACCGUUCUGCCUUCGUAGAUACCCGCUGUCCCAUUUACGAAUCGCGGACCGGUUUGCGUGCAGAAGUGUUUUGCACGAUGUCUUUUGUGUAGAUCCUGCGACAACUUCUAUUUAACGUCGAUUGUCAAAGUCUUGUUACAAGAUAUUGGCGACAUCGGUGAUUUGGAGUUAGUGUCCUUCAGUUACGCCUUAAGCUUUGUUGGAGUUCGAUUCUUUACUCUUGGGGUUUGUUUGUUGAAGUUAGUUCGACCAAGAAAUUUUACAUAAAAUCGAGGCAAAGGUAAUAAAGGCGGCAAACAGGCGAGGGGAAGGAAGGAAGCGUGAUGCCAUAGGAAACGUGUUUUGCUUCCGCUUAUGGGUUCUUGUGAGGUUUAAAAUGAAUUGAAAUUUAGUUUACAAACGUUUGUUGUAAAUAGUAUUAUUUUAUGAUUUCCUGAAUGUUAAAAAAUCAGGCCUCACUUGAAGAUGUUUUUUUUUAAAUUGCUUACGUUUUGUUUAUAUUAAUCAAAGUCUUUAUUUGUUAAAAAUUAA